AUCCAGCUGACGAGUCCCAAAUAGGACAAAAUGCGCAUCAAACUGGAU
This 48-nucleotide non-coding RNA is filed under the name Schistosoma mattheei. The record is from RNAcentral. Lineage: Eukaryota; Metazoa; Platyhelminthes; Trematoda; Strigeidida; Schistosomatidae.